UUCUUCUUGUAAGCAGUGGAGAAGUGCACCUCGGCGGUACUAAAUCAACACCAUAUAUCAUUAAAUUAAAACCAUGGAUGAUUUACCAACAUCAUCGAUAAUCAUAAUCAUCAACAAUUAUAACCUAUAUCAGCAUAAUGAUUUGUCCUCUCAAUAUUUUCACUUUCAUAAGGAAUCUAAACACAGACUCUUCAUCUGUUGGCUAGUAUUGUGUUUGCUUUAGAGUAUUUUGGUAAAAGAACAUCUGGUUUCUUCCUCUCUUGCUAUGUUGCAGACUCAGCAGCUUCUUCGUUACUUCUCAGUCGCCUACCACUUGUGUCUACCUAAUUCGAAGUAUCAAAUUCAUAAUUGUCAAAAGUCACGGAUUUCGCAAGUUCAUUUAGGAUCAUACGGAUAGCUAUUCAAUUAUAAGAAAUCAAUCUCUUGUACUAAUUUGACAUUUUUCAUUGUGUUAUCACUUAAUUCUGUAUUCAGUACAUUCUUCCUAAACUAGUUGAAAAUUUAUCAAGAUUUUAACUGAUUACAAGUCAAGUUUACUGGAUUGUAAUCGUCUAUUUAUUCCA
Molecule: long non-coding RNA, 563 nt
Organism: Papaver somniferum (opium poppy)
Lineage: Eukaryota; Viridiplantae; Streptophyta; Magnoliopsida; Ranunculales; Papaveraceae
Exons: 3
Source: RefSeq, a predicted model, not a curated record